CGGCAAAAGAGACCGAUAGAAUAAGCACUAGGCUUACAAAGAAUAAGUCCUGGGGUCGAUUUGCUCGACUAAAGGCAGUGCUCCAACAUGGGCACAGUCACAUGACAAGUAAAAGAGUAAAAUGAAAAGUGUAUGUAAGUACUGCAUCUCUUUUUCACAUGUCUCUCUAAUGUUCCUCACAAAUAUAUAUGACCAAUUUUUUUUAGGGGCCCACACCAAAAAAAGUAAAACACAAAUGAGUUAAAGAGAAAAUAUUUAUAGAAGGAAGACUGUUGGGGACUGUAUGUGGCCCUAGGAGCCACUGUUGAUAACUGAUGGUCUGUUAAACAUGCUGAGAUCUACAUUAUUAUACAGUUAGUGAUAAAGAUAAAAACUAAAAAUGUUAGGUUGCAAAAAUUGACUGGAUCUAGAGGAAAUAAAUAGUUGACCAAGGGAUAUAUGACAUUUAAUUAACUGUGGGCGCAACUGUUUUCAUUGCAAGACAUGUUAUAUCCAUUCUAAUUUGUUACCAUAUUUUAAGCAGUAAUAGAUUCUUUUAACUUUUUUUUUGGCUUAUGCUUGAGACAGAUAUUUACCUCUUAAAAUCUCGUGUUACCUCUAAUGUUAUAAGAACUUCAUUAAGAUUAUUAAUUUUAAUUUAAACAUUAGAGGUAAUCACAAACUAGGUGAGGGGGACGAAGAGGUUUAAGAUAAGUUUUUUUUUUAAAGGAAGAUUUGGCUGUUAUGUUGAACAGACUAAAAAAAAACAUGUUGAAGCUUUGAAGUUUAAAUUUUUGUUUAUUAUUAUUAUCAUUAUUACUACUUUGUAUUGCUCUCUGGGCAGGAGCAUUUAAAGUUAAUGCUAGUUGGUUUUACAACUUCACUGUUAAACCUUUUGGUAGACUUAUCCUAAGUUUUUCUACUUUGCAGUCAUUGCAUCACAGUCACAUUUUGUGAUAACUUCACUUUCAUUUUGUAAAUAUUCCAUAACUAUUACUGGCUAAUGUUGUAAAUUCAAAAAAAUUUAUAGCAUCCUCCAAGACAAUGCUGGUGGUACUUCAGUUACUAAUUCAUUGGCUAAGCAUAAGUUAUUCAUUCAUUGUAGAGUAGGUUUAAGAUAAACUAAUUAAAUUUGGUUUAAAAUUUUUUUCUUUUUUCAAAUAAAACUGAUUUUAAGAGAGAUUAAAGAAAAAGAAACAUAUUGCCUUAAAUCUUUUGUAAAAUGCGCCAGCAUUUUAGUUGGUAGCAAAAAUUACUUGUAGGGCUAACUUGGUGCAAGAAGCACAUAUAUAACUGAAUUGACCAAUUUGGUUGUUUGUGACAUCUCAUGAACAUGACGGAGCUGGGAAAGUUACUCAGAUUCUUAUUGUUUUGUACAUCCCCCCCAUUACAAAACUCAUUUGUCAAAUUGAUUGAAAAUUGUAAAUAAAACUUUUACUAAUUUGAAUUAUUAUAUUGGAAAUGCUGAUUCCUUGUACAAAUCUA
Long non-coding RNA from Octopus sinensis (East Asian common octopus), 1464 nucleotides. RefSeq lists it as uncharacterized. The record is from RefSeq and is a predicted model, not a curated record. Lineage: Eukaryota; Metazoa; Mollusca; Cephalopoda; Octopoda; Octopodidae. The transcript is spliced from 2 exons.